This 333-nucleotide ribosomal RNA is filed under the name Triticum aestivum (bread wheat). RNAcentral's name for it is "partial small subunit ribosomal RNA". Lineage: Eukaryota; Viridiplantae; Streptophyta; Magnoliopsida; Poales; Poaceae. The record is from RNAcentral.
AUGGAGCCAACACAAAAGAAAGCUAGAAUAGAAAAUAUAAAUGAGUUGAAGCGCAACACAGCAAGCAAAGACUCAAUUGCAAUGGAGAACCCUGCAUAUAUUGCAACCGAACAGGAAGUUAGUACUUCUAACUUUCCUGUAAAACACAAAAAACAUGUGACGCCAGGAGAAAGACAAGCAUUGCUACACCGUCGUAACGAAGAAUUCAUGACAAGACGGCCGAAAACUGCUUCUGAAGACGCUUCCAUGACGGAAACCGGCAACAAUGACACAGAACCUCUACAGCAACCAGAAGUCAUGAUUUACGGUAAUACUCUAAAUUUUAUACAAUAG